AAUUUCCCCAGAUCCAAAACUUGCUGUUCGCAUCCACACCACCAAUGGGAUUCCCGUCAAACGGCGCCGCAUCAGAAACCACCAAGCCUCUCAAGUUCCUCAUCUAUGGGCGCACCGGCUGGAUAGGUGGUCUCUUGGGGAAGCUCUGCGACUCCCAGGGAAUCCACUACACCUACGGCUCCGGUCGCCUCGAAAAUAGAGUCUCACUCGAAGCUGACAUCGCCAACAUCAAGCCUACUCAUGUAUUCAAC
Molecule: long non-coding RNA, 251 nt
Filed under: Manihot esculenta (cassava)
Lineage: Eukaryota; Viridiplantae; Streptophyta; Magnoliopsida; Malpighiales; Euphorbiaceae
Description: long non-coding RNA (MESC_LNC000761)
Source: RNAcentral